RNAcentral lists this ribosomal RNA (301 nucleotides) under uncultured soil bacterium. RNAcentral's name for it is "bacterial SSU rRNA". It matches the Rfam family "Bacterial small subunit ribosomal RNA", at positions 26 to 356 of the family's 1533-position model. The record is from RNAcentral.
AGAACGAACGCUGGCGGCAUGCCUAAUACAUGCAAGUCGAACGAACUCUUCGGAGUUAGUGGCGCACGGGUGCGUAACGCGUGGGAAUCUGCCCCUUGGUUCGGAAUAACAGUUGGAAACGACUGCUAAUACCGGAUGAUGACGAAAGUCCAAAGAUUUAUCGCCAAGGGAUGAGCCCGCGUAGGAUUAGCUAGUUGGUGAGGUAAAGGCUCACCAAGGCAACGAUCCUUAGCUGGUCUGAGAGGAUGAUCAGCCACACUGGGACUGAGACACGGCCCAGACUCCUACGGGAGCAGCAGGU